This is a non-coding RNA of Tetranychus urticae (two-spotted spider mite), 813 nucleotides long. The record is from RefSeq and is a predicted model, not a curated record. NCBI's taxonomy places the organism in Eukaryota, Metazoa, Arthropoda, Arachnida, Trombidiformes, Tetranychidae.
CCUAAUAACCAUCUCUCUUCCUCCGAUUAUUAGCUUCAAUGAUUUGCAAUCAUUAGGAUGGAGAAAUAAGUUUGGAAACAAAUUGUGAAAAAAAGAUGGCAAACCUACUAAUAAUCAAUGUAUUUCAAUGGUUAACUGGUUUCACUGUUCAAGCCCUAAUCUCCAAGUGGGUAAGGAUUUUCGAUGAAAAUUCAAGAUUAAAGGACUUCCAAUGAUGAGUAAAAAAAGAAACGUAGACUCGAGUGAUUUAAGCGUUUGUACUUUUUAUUUUAUUUGAAACCAUUUUACAGCUUCCAAUUGAUACAUUUCACAUAUUAUAUCACACAGAUGAUAUUAUCAAGUAAAACAAGGAAAAUGAAACCACAUACAGGGACAAUGUUGGAUUUGUGUAUAUUUUUUUCACUCCAUUGUGGUUGAAGUUAUGGAAGUUGAACAGAAGUCAUAAGGAUGAUGAUAAUGAUAAUGCGGUUGUUACAAUUGUUAUCCUCAAGUUAAUGAUAGAACAUGAUUUUCAAGGAUUUAUCAAGCAAACAAAGUAAACCAUUUAUUGAACGAGAAGACUUUAAUACCCAUGGUUUCAUCGGAUAUUAUUAUUGUUGUGCUUUUAUUUGGUGUUUAGUUUUAUGAUUGUGAUGAUUAAAUUGUUCAUCUGAUCAGUUAAUCCGUUCUGGAAAGGAACAAUCUUCUCAUGAAAUUCAUUUUCAAUCCUGUUUUUAGAUUUCAACUGUACUUCGUUGUGAUUAUUAUUUUUCCUGGUCCUUUCAGUAUUUAACAGCAAUUUUAUCUGUAAUUUAAUAUCACAUAUACCUUGAA